GUUGGAUUGGCCUAGUGGUAAGGCGUUGGUCUCCGAAGCCAAAGAUCGCGGGUUCGAUCCCCGCAUUCAACG
Molecule: transfer RNA, 72 nt
Filed under: Entomortierella parvispora
Lineage: Eukaryota; Fungi; Mortierellomycota; Mortierellomycetes; Mortierellales; Mortierellaceae
Also listed under: 1 other name
Description: Mortierella parvispora tRNA
Rfam family: tRNA
About the family: Transfer RNA (tRNA) molecules are approximately 80 nucleotides in length. Their secondary structure includes four short double-helical elements and three loops (D, anti-codon, and T loops). Further hydrogen bonds mediate the characteristic L-shaped molecular structure. tRNAs have two regions of fundamental functional importance: the anti-codon, which is responsible for specific mRNA codon recognition, and the 3' end, to which the tRNAs corresponding amino acid is attached (by aminoacyl-tRNA synthetases). tRNAs cope with the degeneracy of the genetic code in two manners: having more than one tRNA (with a specific anti-codon) for a particular amino acid; and 'wobble' base-pairing, i.e. permitting non-standard base-pairing at the 3rd anti-codon position.
Source: Rfam by way of RNAcentral